Molecule: ribosomal RNA, 406 nt
Filed under: uncultured bacterium
Lineage: Bacteria
Description: partial 16S ribosomal RNA
Rfam family: Bacterial small subunit ribosomal RNA
Source: RNAcentral
AUUGAACGCUGGCGGCAGGCUUAACACAUGCAAGUCGAGCGAGCGGCGGACGGGUGAGUAAUGUCUGGGAAACUGCCUGAUGGAGGGGGAUAACUACUGGAAACGGUAGCUAAUACCGCAUACCAUCAGAUGUGCCCAGAUGGGAUUAGCUAGUAGGUGGGGUAAUGGCUCACCUAGGCGACGCUCCCUAGCUGGUCUGAGAGGAUGAUCAGCCACACUGGAACUGAGACACGGCCCAGACUCCUACGGGAGGCAGCAGUGGGGAAUAUUGCACAAGGGGCGCAAGCCUGAUGCAGCCAUGCCGCGUGUAUGAAGAAGGCCUUCGGGUUGUAAAGCACUUUCAGCGGGGAGGCGUUACUCGCAGAAGAAGCACCGGCUAACUCCGUGCCAGCAGCCGCGGUAAUAC